CCAGUUGGCCGGGCAGCCGCGCUUCACAAGGGCCGAAAGGCUGUGAGGUGAGGAAAGUCCGGGCUCCACGGAAAGACGGUGCCGGAUAACGUCCGGCGGGGGCGACCCCAGGGACAGUGCCACAGAAAGCAAACCGCCUGCACGGCGCCUCGCGCGUCAUGGCGGGUAAGGGUGAAAGGGUGGGGUAAGAGCCCACCGCGGCCCUGGCAACAGGGACGGCACGGUAAACCCCACCGGGAGCAAGACCGAAUAGGGAUGACGUGAUGGCGCCUUCGGGCGCCUUCAGCCUUUUCCGGGCCAGUCAUCCGGGUGGGUUGCGUGAGGCGGCGCGUAAGCGUCGUCCCAGAUGAAUGGCUGCCACGUUCCGGCUCUCAAAAGGCCGGAGCCUUACAGAACCCGGCUUAUAGGCCAACUGGCUUU
This 420-nucleotide RNase P RNA is filed under the name Xaviernesmea oryzae. RNAcentral describes it as "Rhizobium oryzae Bacterial RNase P class A". It matches the Rfam family "Bacterial RNase P class A". Rfam says of the family: Ribonuclease P (RNase P) is a ubiquitous endoribonuclease, found in archaea, bacteria and eukarya as well as chloroplasts and mitochondria. Its best characterised activity is the generation of mature 5'-ends of tRNAs by cleaving the 5'-leader elements of precursor-tRNAs. Lineage: Bacteria; Pseudomonadati; Pseudomonadota; Alphaproteobacteria; Hyphomicrobiales; Rhizobiaceae. The record is from Rfam by way of RNAcentral.